This 386-nucleotide ribosomal RNA is filed under the name uncultured bacterium. RNAcentral describes it as "bacterial SSU rRNA". It matches the Rfam family "Bacterial small subunit ribosomal RNA", at positions 30 to 420 of the family's 1533-position model. The record is from RNAcentral.
AUUGAACGCUGGCGGCAUGCCUUACACAUGCAAGUCGAACGGCAGCGGGCCUUCGGGUGCCGGCGAGUGGCGAACGGUGAGUAAUGCAUCGGAACGUGCCAUUGAGUGGGGAUAACGUAGCGAAAGUUACGCUAAUACCGCAUAUUCUGUGAGCAGGAAAGCAGGGGACCGCAAGGCCUUGCGCUCUUUGAGCGGCCGAUGUCAGAUUAGCUAGUUGGUGAGGUAAAGGCUUACCAAGGCGACGAUCUGUAGCGGGUCUAAGAGGAUGAUCCGCCACACUGGAACUGAGACACGGUCCAGACUCCUACGGGAGGCAGCAGUGGGGAAUUUUGGACAAUGGGCGCAAGCCUGAUCCAGCCAUGCCGCGUGAGUGAAGAAGGCCUCGG